AAUAGAUACCCAGGUAGCCCACGCCGUAAACGAUGAGUGCUAAGUGUUAGAGGGUUUCCGCCCUUUAGUGCUGUAGCUAACGCAUUAAGCACUCCGCCUGGGGAGUACGGCCGCAAGGCUGAAACUCAAAGGAAUUGACGGGGGCCCGCACAAGCGGUGGAGCAUGUGGUUUAAUUCGAAGCAACGCGAAGAACCUUACCAGGUCUUGACAUCCUCUGACAACCCUAGAGAUAGGGCUUUCCCCUUCGGGGGACAGAGUGAUAGGUGGUGCAUGGUUGUCGUCAGCUCGUGUCGUGAGAUGUUGGGUUAAGUCCCGCAACGAGCGCAACCCUUGAUCUUAGUUGCCAGCAUUCAGUUGGGCACUCUAAGGUGACUGCCGGUGACAAACCGGAGGAAGGUGGGGAUGACGUCAAAUCAUCAUGCCCCUUAUGACCUGGGCUACACACGUGCUACAAUGGAUGGUACAAAGGGCUGCAAACCUGCGAAGGUAAGCGAAUCCCAUAAAGCCAUUCUCAGUUCGGAUUGCAGG
RNAcentral lists this ribosomal RNA (529 nucleotides) under uncultured bacterium. Its description in RNAcentral is "bacterial SSU rRNA". It matches the Rfam family "Bacterial small subunit ribosomal RNA", at positions 777 to 1304 of the family's 1533-position model. The record is from RNAcentral.